Molecule: ribosomal RNA, 954 nt
Filed under: Haradamyces foliicola
Lineage: Eukaryota; Fungi; Ascomycota; Leotiomycetes; Helotiales; Sclerotiniaceae
Description: SSU rRNA
Rfam family: Eukaryotic small subunit ribosomal RNA
Source: RNAcentral
CUAUACUGUGAAACUGCGAAUGGCUCAUUAAAUCAGUUAUCGUUUAUUUGAUAGUACCUUACUACAUGGAUAACCGUGGUAAUUCUAGAGCUAAUACAUGCUAAAAACCUCGACUUCGGAAGGGGUGUAUUUAUUAGAUAAAAAACCAAUGCCCUUCGGGGCUCCCUGGUGAUUCAUAAUAACUUAACGAAUCGCAUGGCCUUGCGCCGGCGAUGGUUCAUUCAAAUUUCUGCCCUAUCAACUUUCGAUGGUAGGAUAGUGGCCUACCAUGGUUUCAACGGGUAACGGGGAAUUAGGGUUCUAUUCCGGAGAAGGAGCCUGAGAAACGGCUACUACAUCCAAGGAAGGCAGCAGGCGCGCAAAUUACCCAAUCCCGACACGGGGAGGUAGUGACAAUAAAUACUGAUACAGGGCUCUUUUGAGUCUUGUAAUGGAAUGAGUACAAUUAAAUACCUAACGAGAACAUGGAGGGCAAGUCUGGUCCAGCAGCCGCGGUAAUUCCAGCUCCAAUAGCGUAUAUUAAAGUUGUUGCAGUUAAAAAGCUCGUAGUUGACCCUUGGGCCUGGUUGGCCGGUCCGCCUCACCGCGUGCACUGGUCCGACCGGGUCUUUCCUUCUGGGGAGCCGCAUGCCCUUCACUGGGUGUGUCGGGGAACCAGGACUUUUACUUUGAAAAAAUUAGAGUGUUCAAAGCAGGCCUAUGCUCGAAUACAUUAGCAUGGAAUAAUAGAAUAGGACGUGUGGUUCUAUUUUGUUGGUUUCUAGGACCGCCGUAAUGAUUAAUAGGGAUAGUCGGGGGCAUCAGUAUUCAAUUGUCAGAGGUGAAAUUCUUGGAUUUAUUGAAGACUAACUACUGCGAAAGCAUUUGCCAAGGAUGUUUUCAUUAAUCAGUGAACGAAAGUUAGGGGAUCGAAGACGAUCAGAUACCGUCGUAGUCUUAACCAUAAACUAUGCC